This 289-nucleotide long non-coding RNA is filed under the name Olea europaea (common olive). RNAcentral describes it as "long non-coding RNA (OEUR_LNC001640)". The record is from RNAcentral. Lineage: Eukaryota; Viridiplantae; Streptophyta; Magnoliopsida; Lamiales; Oleaceae.
UCAACCUUGUUAAGAGGAGUGUCCCAAUUCUUUAUAUAUUGGUCAUUAUUUCGGUAUUUUUACCGAUGUGGGAUUAUAUUCCCUUAACAUGCCCCCACAAGAUGGUGGCUCGUUUGAGCAGACCAAUCUUGAAAUCCGUGUGCUCAUUUUUAGAGACUUAAUCGAAUCGAAUCGUUCGUUGGAGUUUAAUGGGCUCUGAUACCAUGUUAAGAUUUGGGGUCCAUCUUAAUAAGGUCAACCUUGUUAAGAGGAGUGUCCCAAUUCUUUAUAUAUUGGUCAUUAUUUCAGU